AUGAAACACUCCUACGGGAGGCAGCAGUGGGGAAUUUUGGACAAUGGGCGCAAGCCUGAUCCAGCCAUGCCGCGUGUCUGAAGAAGGCCUUCGGGUUGUAAAGGACUUUUGUCAGGGAGGAAAAGGCUGUUGCUAAUACCGACAGCUUAUGACGGUACCUGAAGAAUAAGCACCGGCUAACUACGUGCCAGCAGCCGCGGUAAUACGUAGGGUGCAAGCGUUAAUCGGAAUUACUGGGCGUAAAGCGUGCGCAGGCGGUUGUGUAAGUCAGAUGUGAAAUCCCCGGGCUCAACCUGGGAAUUGCAUUUGAGACUGCACGGCUAGAGUGUGUCAGAGGGGGGUAGAAUUCCACGUGUAGCAGUGAAAUGCGUAGAUAUGUGGAGGAAUACCGAUGGCGAAGGCAGCCCCCUGGGAUGACACUGACGCUCAUGCACGAAAGCGUGGGGAGCAAACAGGAUUAGAUACCCUAGUAGUCCGAAGUUC
This 483-nucleotide ribosomal RNA is filed under the name uncultured bacterium. RNAcentral's name for it is "bacterial SSU rRNA". It matches the Rfam family "Bacterial small subunit ribosomal RNA", at positions 328 to 802 of the family's 1533-position model. The record is from RNAcentral.